UGAAAUCGUCUGCUUUCCUAGAUAAUGACUUUGGAGGAAAGCAAACACGAUUCUUGUAGCAGUGACGAGUGAAAUGAGAUCUGCCUAAAACCUUGAUAAUGGGUUGUAGGAAAGCAAUACAAGUAUAGUAUUAGGCGAAGCAACUUGAAUGUUGCAUUCUAAAUGGCAAAAAUUCAGUAGUCAAUUGCAUCACUAGCUUAUGCUUUGAUCUAAGUAGCAUGAAGCACGUGGAAUUCAUGUAAAUCAGCAAGGACGACCACCUUGCAAGGCUAAGUACUCCUGGAUGACUAAUAAUGAAGUAUUACUGUGGGAGAAGGGUGAAAAGAACCCCCUUCGCAAAGUGAAUAGAACAUGAAA
RNAcentral lists this non-coding RNA (357 nucleotides) under Capsicum annuum. Its description in RNAcentral is "Bacterial large subunit ribosomal RNA". It matches the Rfam family "Bacterial large subunit ribosomal RNA", at positions 189 to 555 of the family's 2925-position model. Lineage: Eukaryota; Viridiplantae; Streptophyta; Magnoliopsida; Solanales; Solanaceae. The record is from Rfam by way of RNAcentral.